GGGCUCGUGGUCUAGACGGUUAUGACACCGCCUUUACACGGCGGAGGCCCUGAGUUCGAAUCUCAGCGGGCCCA
This 74-nucleotide transfer RNA is filed under the name Candidatus Methanimicrococcus odontotermitis. RNAcentral's name for it is "tRNA-Val". It matches the Rfam family "tRNA". Rfam says of the family: Transfer RNA (tRNA) molecules are approximately 80 nucleotides in length. Their secondary structure includes four short double-helical elements and three loops (D, anti-codon, and T loops). Lineage: Archaea; Methanobacteriati; Methanobacteriota; Methanomicrobia; Methanosarcinales; Methanosarcinaceae. The record is from RNAcentral.